Molecule: non-coding RNA, 374 nt
Rfam family: transfer-messenger RNA
About the family: Bacterial tmRNA, also known as 10Sa RNA or SsrA, is named for its dual tRNA and mRNA-like properties.
Source: Rfam
GGGGAUGUUUUUUGGAUUCGACGGGUAUAGGUCGAGUUCUAAUUGCGUUUGAAGGUGGCGCUUGUUAAAACGCUCAGUUUUUAAAUUAUAACUGCAAACAAUAAUUCACAAUCCUACGCAUACGCUGCCUAACCGGUAAGCAUGCGUAAAUCCGGCCGGGCUCGUCCAUGGUGCGGUACCGGGUUUCAUUAGCAGUGGACUUACGUUGGUGGCCUCAGCUGGUGGUCAGCAAAAGAGAUCUUCCCAGCUCGCCUGCCAUGUUAGCCUUGAUUAGCGGCGCUUUGGCAGGUUAAAGCUAAAUAGUUGAUCUAUGAGCGUAGAGGUUAGGAUGGCGAUAUGCUCGGACAGGGGUUCGACUCCCCUCAUCUCCAUUU